CUGACACUUUUGUUUAGGGGAGAGCGGGGCUGAAAGUGCCGGGGGUAAAUUGUGCCGACGCGAAUAUCUCAAAAACAGAAAGAGAUAGAUAUAUGCGAUCGUAUUGUGUCGCGUAAGGCCUAACAGUCGCGCACACGCGGCUGCCAUUUUAGUUGCGUCAGCGACGCGGACCGAGUCGUACUGCAUGUGAGGGUCCUCCAGCGCCACUAUUGUUUAUAUUUACGCGAGCUAUUAUGAAAGAAAGAAAAUAUGCAGUUUCCAGCCUCCUCAAUCAGUUGAUAAUAACACAGGAGAUAAAAAUGCAGCAGUUUUCUCACCAGAGCUAAUAAGACCACUGCCUAAAGCACCUCCCCGACUAAUUGGACAUACUAAAGCACGUAAAAGAAAGACAGCUGUUCUUACGGACACUCCAGAGAAAAAUGCUUUAGCAGAAGAACAGGCUAGUAAAAAGAAGAAAAAAGAAAGCGAAACUAAAAAGAAGGUUAAGGGAAAAGGGACGGGAAAAUGCAAGGGAAA
Helicoverpa armigera (cotton bollworm) is the source of this 516-nucleotide long non-coding RNA. RefSeq lists it as uncharacterized. The record is from RefSeq and is a predicted model, not a curated record. Lineage: Eukaryota; Metazoa; Arthropoda; Insecta; Lepidoptera; Noctuidae. The transcript is spliced from 2 exons.